Molecule: non-coding RNA, 1934 nt
Organism: Chlorocebus sabaeus (green monkey)
Lineage: Eukaryota; Metazoa; Chordata; Mammalia; Primates; Cercopithecidae
Source: RefSeq, a predicted model, not a curated record
CAGGCAUGAGCCACUGCGCCCGACCAAAUUCUAACCACUCUUACAUCUCAAAUGCAAGUGUCUUUGGUCAAGCAGCAUUCGUACGGAGACACUAGCCCUAGAGCAGUUGGUGGUAUUGGGAGCAGGGUUCAAGCAGAGUAAGGCCUAGGGAUUAACCUUUGCCUAAAGCCUGGUCUACAUCUAGGGUUUCCACCCACCUACCUACCUGGCGAGACUGGCAAGGAUUUCCAUUUUACUGAUGAGGAAACUGAGUUCAGAGAAGUUGCCUGCUCACAUUUAUGGGGUUAUAAAAUGAUAGCACCAGGAUUUGGAGCCGGGACUUCAUUCUGGGCUCUGCUACAACCCUGAGCCCCUCUGUCUUGACAGCAUGUAUCAUAACUGGACUGAUAAUUACGAUUCUCUAUUAAAAAGUGGGAGCAUCCACUUAAAUUGUUUUGUUUUGUUUCUAACUUGGCAGAUAGCUUGGAAAGUUGCUGGACACCAGUUGGACUUGCCGCGAAAACCGUUCAUCUUGGCCUUUCAGAGAAAACCUUCAGAAGCAUUGAUUUGCGAGCAGAAAACUGUCUACAUCACGGCUGCUACCGAGCUCAACUUUUCCUGAACGGACUCAGCUGAAAUCCUUGCCAUGUCUCGGUUCUCAUUUCGCUAUGCUAAUUAGGGAGCCCAGAGGGUUUUCCGAAGAUCCUGGACUUGCUCUACUGGACUCAUGCCUAAUAAAGUAGAGCUAUCACGUUGCCCAGCGCUACGCUCUUUCAAAAGUUCACAGAAAGGCCCACACUGAGAAGAGAAGGAACUUAACUGGGUAAGUAGCAUUGGGCAGUGAGGUAAUGACAUCAUGGUUCAAGUUAAACGUCCUGGAAGGUGAAGACGCAUGGGUUGGGGAGGGGGAUGUAUCUCCUCGGGAAUGUGAGAAUGAUUCGAUUCUUAACAACUAGGACCUAACAAUAUGGUGUCUGAAAUGAUAAGGCCACAAUGAACAGAGAUGACCCGAAGAGCAAGUAGACUAAGGCAGUCGGGGACAGAAAAGACUUCAAGUUAUUUUCCAACUGUUGCCUGAUGGCUCCUUUCCAAGAACCAGGAAACUGGUUCUUAACUGAUAUGCCAUUUCUGUCCCUCCCUGAGAGGUGCUACUGAAUUCUGAUUGAUGUGUACCAAACCCAUCUUUGCCAUGAGUUGUGUGAUGGAGGCUGAGCUGAGUGGAUCUACGAUAUGGUGCAGGGCACAGCUUACUAUGGAUGGGAGGGAAAAGGCAAAGUAGUGUCAAGCUGGCGCCAGACUGUGUUGAGUACAUUUGAAAUGAACUUGGUCUCGUGAGAUUAUAAAAGAGUGUGGUCAAGGCAGUGAACCUCAACCUUUAAACAGUGACAACAUGGGAAGGUCGAUCAAGGGACCGUGUGGGCCAACGAGAACCUUCAGAGCACUGUCCCCAAAGCCCACACUCAAAUUGUGCCUCAAACACAAAAACCGCCUUAGGGAAUUGAGGGCAGCUUGUAUAAAUAGCAUUCUGGUUAGGACGGUUACCUUUACAUAGUCAUGAAAUAUAAAAUAUGUUCUGCACAAAGUGCUGUUGUAGCACAAAGCAGGCAAAACUUUCUCUUGUCCAGAAAAAAACUCUUACAGCAGCAAAAUCCCUCCUGCGGGUUCAGGACAAUUGUGAGUGUGCCAGAAUUGUAAGCCUGGACAAUAAAGAACGAGGAUCAGUAGGCUUUUUGGUCUUUCUGGACUCAGGUACCACCUACCUGAAUCAAACUGCUGCUGACUCUCGUCUGUCUGCCCCAUCUGAAGACGUGGCUGCCAAGUGGAGCUGGGUAAGACUAGGCACUACAUGCCCUUGGUCUCCGUUUUGCCUGAAGAUGCUUUUUGGAGGCCGGGUGCGGUGGCUCACGCUUGUAAUCCAAGCACUUUGGGAGGCCAAGGCAGGUGGAUCACUUGAG